GUAAGGGGCAAGCGUUAUCCGGAUUUACUGGGUGUAAAGGGUGAGUAGGCGGUUCGGCAAGUCAUAUGUGAAAUACCUGGGCUCAACCCAGGAACCGCAUAAGAAACUGUCGGACUUGAGUACAGGAGAGGUAAGCGGAAUUCCCAGUGUAGCGGUGAAAUGCGUAGAUAUUGGGAAGAACACCGGUGGCGAAGGCGGCUUACUGGACUGAAACUGACGCUGAGUCACGAAAGCGUGGGGAGCGAA
RNAcentral lists this ribosomal RNA (246 nucleotides) under uncultured bacterium. RNAcentral describes it as "partial 16S ribosomal RNA". It matches the Rfam family "Bacterial small subunit ribosomal RNA", at positions 527 to 772 of the family's 1533-position model. The record is from RNAcentral.